CAGGGUCCGCACUGCCGCCCACCCGUCUCAGCUCUUCAUCUCCACACACACGGACCCCACGGUCAGAGGAGCUCUCGAGGUCACGCUUCAGCGUUGCUGUGGGUGUGGAGGUGACCGAGAGAGGCCUCAGAACCACGGCCCGGCACCCUGAGACAAGGGAUCCUGCCUGCCUCUGGCCUUGAGCUCUCUCCCAGGACCAGGGCCACCUCAGCUGUUUAGGCAGGAUGGUCUUUGAACACCCGAAGGUGAGCAGCAUGCGCAGGACCAAAGCUGGCUUCCCCCUGAGAGACAGUGGUCCACAGGGGCAUGGAAUCCAAUCACCAUCCUAGAAAUGGAAGGCUCCUUCCUGCAGGCCCAGCCUACAUCACUGACCUGUGUAAGGUAAGGCUCCUUCUUUUUUUUUUUUUUUUAGCUGAGGACCGAACCCAGGGCCUUGCGCUUGCUAGGCAAAGCGCUCUACCACUGAGCUAAAUUCCCAACCCGUAAGGCUCCUUAAGUCUAACCAAAGUUCUUCCUGCUGCAGAUUACAUUCAUAUUAAAGGGUCUACGUUCCUAGGACCUCACUGGUUCUGAUACAAUACACAGUAGACUUAAAGAAAUAUAUGUGUGGGCAUUUUGUUCGCACGUAUGUCUGUAUGCUAUGUGUGGUACCCAGGGGUCCCUGGGGACUGGAGUUACAGACCGUGGUGAGCCAUCAUGUGGGUGCUGGAAAUCAAACCUGGGUCCUCUGGAAGAGCAGCCUGUGCUCUCCAGAGCUGAUCCAUCUCUCCAGCCCCACACAACAGACUUGACACAUGUCUGUGGAACGAGCCAACCUCGUUCCAUUUCCACGUGUCUUGUCUAGCACCAGAAUUAAAGAAGCCAGUGCACGAGAGUAUUCCCUUCAACAGUAGCGCGAGAGUAUUGCUAAAUAACAGAGACCCGUCACCUUUCUAGCGCCUGCUCCACUCCGACUGACCCGGCCUGAGUAGGCCGCCCUACCCGCAUGCCUCAGCCCCUACACCCCCUGGGAGAUUUCCAAGGGUAGUCUAGAAGCCCAGUGCGCUACCCAUGGCAUAGAAGUUAGCACUCAGGGGGACUUCCUAAAGAACAGCCGGGGGCGUUCUGGACUUGGUGAGAGCAGGUCAGUGGGUAGGGGUCUGAGAUGGGGGGUGGUAACGAGGGGCAGGAGGGAGGCAGAGUCUGAAGAAAUGUGGAGCCCGAGUGCCACCUAGUGGCUCCCUCCCCUCCACAGACCCAGGCACCAGGCUAGGGUGUUCCCGACCCUCCACAGCACACUCCAAAGAAGGGAACAAGUCGUGUGUGGAAGAAGCAGGGCGCUUGCUUCCGAGCUUUAUUUACUCUGCUCCUCAGCCCUCUUUCCGAGGAUAAGAAUACCGCAAUGACCUGGCCUGAGGCUACCCAGCCUGGAUGGGAGCCCAGGGUUCCACAGGGGUUCAGUCGGGGCAACAGUGACAGUUGGUGGCUGGGCUCAAGGCUAGGCGUGGGGAGGGGCUGUAGGGCGGGAGGGCUGAGAGUGGGGUCUAGGUUGUGCCCAUCCACCGGAGUGGCCACUGCACGCUGUCCCCUGCACUGACAGACCACCUCCAGCGGCAGCGCAGGCAGGGAGGCGAAAGCCCCAAGAGAAGCAGGGUAAGAAGAACACUUCACGCUUGGGGAACAGCUGCCUCCAAAGCUAACAAAACCCCGGGGCAAGUCUGGGGCUAAGUCUCCAACCAGCAGCUCCAGUGCAGGCUUGCGGGCUCUGUUGUGGUCCUGGGGGCUGCCGCAAACACAGGAGAACAGCUAGCUCUCUGGCUUCAGAAUAGCCCCGGCAGGCUCCCCCGGCAGGCAGGCUCCCCCGGCAGGCAGGCUCCCCCGGCAGGCAGGCUCCCCCGGCAGGCAGGCUCCCCCGGCAGGCCCCUACACACUCAGUCCCCAGGACCUUUAGCGUUUGCAUGUAUUUGCAUAGACAGUUCAGCAGAACCCACUCCGGUCUUUUUGUAGCCAAAGCGGUCCCAGUGCAGGGUCAAGUGCUGUGCUGUCUUCCGUGAAGGACAUUCAAGGGCACUAAAGAGCCAAGAGGGACCCACUGGACUGUGGGAACAAAGCUUCUAGAGUCAAUUCCAGGGACCUUGCGCUGGGUGCUUGCCAAGGCCCCCCUGCUGCGGCAGGAGCGGGGCUCAGCCAUGGUGGUGGGAAUGGCGGCCAUGUUCUUCCCUGGGCCCCACAACUCUGGGGUUCCAGGAGUGCUUCUCCUUCUUCUUUGACCUGUGGGGAGACGGGGCACGAGGCGGGGCAAGGCCUUUAGGAAACAGAACCACUGAGAUGGGAAGGCCCUGUUCUUCCGGAGGAAGCCAAGGCAGGCAGCUGCCACCACUUGCGGACGGGAGAGACCUGGGCUCCCCGGAUGGACCCCACUGGGGGAGGCCGGAAGGGGCCCUGUAGGCACGGGCAAGGUGGGAAAAGGGGGCCCCAGCUCUAAAGGGGACCCCUCAGGACUGCUGUAGUCCUUCACGGGAAGACAGGGAAUGUACGUAGAAGCCUUCUCUAAGGCCUCGGAUUCAGAAAUGAAGAGGACUCCAGCUAGAGACCUCUUCCGUUCAGGGUCCCAGUGCCUCCAAAUCCCUCUCAGCUAUUAACACCCCGCCCGCCCACCCACCCCCAGAUUCCCACCUCUUCUUCAGCGCCUUGUCUCCAAAGAAGUGGCUGAAGAUGAAAUCCUCAAAGUCAUCCACUUCGUCGUCAUCACCCAUCUGUUUUAUUGCCACUUCCUCCAGGCUGUCCUCCAGGGCAUCCACAAAGUCCCGGAAGCGAAGGCGGUCAUGCCUGAAGAGGCCAUCUUCUCCAAAGUAGGCGGGUGAGAGGGGCAGCACUUUGGUCAGUGGCCCAGCCCAGGGCAGCCUCGCCAAGUAGGCUCUCAGCACAGAGGCCAGCUCCUGCUGCCUCACGGGGGCCAGCUCUGUGCCAAAGAAGGCCAGGCCCUCCUGCCGGGCACAGUCGGCUACCCCUGAGCAGCCCUGAGGGGGCCUGUACCUGCGCCUCAGCAGCUCCUCCCAGGAGGACAGGGGGUCAGGGCCGCUGUCUUUCCCCCAAGAUCGCUUCUGCCUUUCUCCAGAGUGGGUGUUCCCACUCUUCGUAGGGUGUGCCUUGGGGUCCUGCCGCUUGCCGUCUUUUCUGUUCCCCAGGUCUUCUACCCUCGGCUUCUCCGCCUCCUUCCACCCCGCGGCUGGUUCCCCGUCCUCAUCCCUCCAGCUCUUCCUCCUCUCCCGGCCGGCUUCCUCCUUCCUAUGCUUCCAGUGCUCAGCCUUCUGGUCCCUCGGCCCACCAUGCCACAUCUCCCUUCUACUCCGCUCCCUGGAAUUCUGGAAGUGGGGCUUCUUCUGGUACCAGGCCCCCGAGUCGUUGGCAGGAACGCCCGUGUCCCGACCCCAGUCCUCCAGGCCCUGCAAAGUCUGGGCCAGCAUGUGGCCAAGUUCGGCCAGGCCAGCACGAGCUGGGGCUCCUCGGCCAGCGUUCUGCAAGCCCCUCUGCAGGUCACGAUGCACAGACCCCAGCAGCCGCCACUGCCUCUGCAGCUCCUGCCUCAGGGCCUGGGCCUCAGCCUCCAGCCGCUUCUGCUGCUCUGAUAAGCUGGGGUCUGGCUCCUGUCCCUUGGGGGCUCUGUCACCUGGGCCUCCACCCCAGCUGAGACACACACCGUCGACGCCCCGGACACAGUUAGCCUCUAGGCCUUGGAGUCGGGCCCUUAGCUGCUGCAGUUCUGACUCUAGGACCUGGUGGGAGGUCUUGCCCUGCUGCAGGGCCUCCCGGAGCCGGGCAUUCUCCUCCUCCAGCCCUUGGGGCUGGUGCAGCAGGCUCUGAAGCUCUUCUUUCUGAGCCUAGAAUGUAGUUAGGGACAGAAGAAAACAGGGGUCCUUGUCAGGGCGAGCACAAGGCCUUCCACCCCGAUUCUCUUCUAUUAGAGUGGGCGGGAGCUAGUUCUGUUGGUAGAGAGCCUGCUUAGCGUAUGCAAGGCCCUGGACUCGAGCCCCAGUGCCCGCCUUGGACAGCCAGAUGGGGUCCCCCUCUUCUCCACCCCUAACCUGAGCCAGGUCCUGAGGCGGUCGAAUCCCGGCAUCUAUGGCGUUCCAGAAGCACAUACUUUUUAGACCCACCAGAGCCCAUGUCUAGCCUUCCCGGUUUCAUGUCCACUUCCCAGAUCUAGGCAGGCACUGUCCAUUGAGCCCAGCACUUGGCACGAGCCGUGGCAUGUUCUUCAAAUGCUCCAGGAAGAUCACCGCCACCAAUCAGAGGUGACUGGCCAGGUAAACAAGUACACCAGCCCCGACAGCCCUCAGCAUGAGGGAGGUAAACAGACCAAGACACCCUGAGGACCGGCCGACCGACCGACCGACCUCGGUAAAGGUGAGGCUCAAGGGUCAGAAGAGAAGGGAAAACUCCUCCUGGGGGAGCCCCACUAGGACAUAUGCCGGGUGAAGGUGGCCAGAUGCACCCCCUCCCUCCCUCUUGCUAGGGCCCACCUGCAGCUGGGCCUGCAGCAGCCGGAUAUCCUGGUUCUCCUUGGCCAGCUUGUCCAGCAGAAGCCCCAUGCUCUGCAGGCUGGGGCUACUGUCCGGUGGUACCGAGGCCUGCCGCUGCUCUAGCUCAUCCUGAGGGCAGAAGAGCAGCCACUUCAUGCUCCCUCCCCGGCAGAAGCAACCCAGCUUCUCCCUACCAGGCACCCCCACAGAACCCAUACAUACCUGCCUGUUCCCUACAGUAUGCACCAACUCAGUCUCUGGCUCAGUAUCGGGAAAGACCUGCAGCUCUGCUUCCUCCAUGGGCCCUGUGGGUAAGUGAGCCUCUGAAUCCAGUCCCUGGAUCCAGAGAGCCCAUCACCCCUCUCCCUGAACACACCCCAAGGCUCACAGGUCUGCUGAGCUAAAGGGAGGAAAGUCACCCUGAACAGGUGACAAGGUCAACAACCAGGAAAUAAUAGGCAACCCUGAACACCUUACCUGAGGACCACUCCCCAUACAGACUCCCAUUAGCACCAACACAGAAAGCAAGCCAGGGCCUCUGCCUACUCACCAGUCUCAGGCUCCAAAAGCGUACCUGAAGACGAAAACAGUCUGAGGAGGCUCCCGGGGAAGCAGGGAGAGGUAAGGACAGGCCGGGGCAGCAAGGCGGGGCCAAAGGACCGAGUGGAGGCCCUAGCCAGGAGUACUCCUCACCAGAGAACAGGAGGAUGCCCAGGCCCAGAAGAACCAGGGUCCCCAGGAGACACAUGUUGAGGGAGAUGCCCAGCUCGCCUCCUGCACCCUCGCCCUUGGCCUGGUCCUCCACGUCCACAGGUAUCACGGGUUGGGGUGGGCCGGGCUCCCGGCCCCUCCGUCUCCGCAGACCCUCUACAUCCACGUCGGUGUCUUCAUCACUGCUGGAGCAGUGGCGGUCUUUCCAAACUGAAGGGAGAGGAGGGGACCCGGCAGUGAGGCACACGCACAUACCACAGUAUGAGUGUGGAGGCAAGAAGUCAACCUCAGUGAGGUGCUGCGACGCACGCCUUUAAUCCCAGCACUCAGGCAGAGGCAGGCGGAUCUCUGCAAAUUUCAGGCCAGCCUGGUCC
Molecule: non-coding RNA, 5587 nt
Organism: Peromyscus maniculatus bairdii (prairie deer mouse)
Lineage: Eukaryota; Metazoa; Chordata; Mammalia; Rodentia; Cricetidae
Source: RefSeq, a predicted model, not a curated record